AAAAUUUAACUUUGAUCUUUAUAAUAAAUAUUACAUUUUAGUCUUAAAAAAUCAUUAUGUUAACUAAUUUUGUUGAUUAUGUUAAUUUUUGAUUUUAAAUAUUUCUUUUUAUUAAUAGGAGGACAAAAUGCCAAAAAAAAUGAAAAACUACACCAAGAUCAAUUGGGAAAGAAAACAUCCAAUAAAUCACUUUCAAAGAAGUGACUAACAAAGGGAGGACAUACAUCAAAGAGACGAAAUUCUUCUCGAAGCUCAAUAUCAUUCUUUGCCGGCGCAUCCCCACACGAGUUGACUUCCCUCUAGACAUGCUUGAAGGUGAGAAAAACAAGAAAGGGGGGGUUUGAAUUGUUUGGAAAAUAAGCGCUUUUUCAAAAUGAAAAUCACACAAGGAUUUUUAUACUGGUUCACUUAUAACACAAAGCUACUCCAGUUCACCCGGCCAAGGUGAUUUCGCCUUCAACAAGGACUUAAUCCACUAAUCUUGAAAGAUUGUUUACAAACAACAUCUAAGAGAAAGAUCUCUUAGUCCUCUCAAGUCUACAGACUACACAGAGUCACUUGAGGAAAAUAAAACAAUAGAUGAAAGCUUAUGUAAUCUAGAGUGCUUCUAAGAUAAGCAAAUAUUACAACAAUAAGAACAAAGGUGUUUCACGUUUCAAGCAACAGCUUCGUGAAGAUUUAGAGAGCAAGAAUGUUUUCUUGUGCGUUGAUGUUUCAGUAUAAUUUCUGCUUAUUUUCUUGCUUGUAUAUGUUGUAUCCUGAAUGUUGAUUUGCAGUCCUUUAUAUAGAAGAGAAGGAUCCGUUGAAAAAUCAUGGCAG
RNAcentral lists this long non-coding RNA (819 nucleotides) under Lathyrus oleraceus (garden pea). RNAcentral's name for it is "Pisum sativum (pea) long non-coding RNA (PSAT_LNC021364)". Lineage: Eukaryota; Viridiplantae; Streptophyta; Magnoliopsida; Fabales; Fabaceae. The record is from RNAcentral.